UGUGUCUGUGGGUCUACAGGUCUAUGUGUGUCUGUGGGUCUAUGUGUGUCUGUGGGUCUACAGGUCUAUGUGUGUCUGUGGGUCUAUGUGUGUCUGUGGGUCUACAGGUCUAUGUGUUUCUGUGGGUCUAUGGGUCUACAGGUCUAUGUGUGUCUGUGGGUCUACAGGUCUAUGUGUGUCUGUGGGUCUACAGGUCUAUGUGUGUCUGUGGGUCUACAGGUCUAUGUGUGUCUGUGGGUCUACAGGUCUAUGUGUGUCUGUGGGUCUACAGGUCUAUGUGUGUCUGUGUGUCUACAGAUCUAUGUGUGUCUGUGGGUCUACAGGUCUAUGUGUGUCAGUCUGGCUCCACAGGUCUGUGUCUGUGGCUCUACAGGUCAAUGUGGGUCAAUGUGUGUCAGUCUGGCUCUACAGGUCUGUGUGCGUGUGUGUGUGCGUGUGUGUCUGCAGGGGUGCGUGUGUGUCUGCAGGGGUGCGUGUGUGUCUGCAGGGGUGCGUGUGUGUCUGCAGGGGUGCGUGUGUGUCUGCAGGGGUGCGCGCGUCUGCAGGUGUGCGCGCGUCUGCAGGUGUGCGCGCGUCUGCAGGUGUGUGCGCGCGUGUGCGCGUCUGCAGGUGUGUGCGCGCGUGUGCGCGUCUGCAGGUGUGUGCGCGCGUGUGCGCGUCUGCAGGUGUGUGCGCGCGUGUGUCUGUGUCUGUCUGUAAGUGUGUUUGUCCUGUUUCCAUGCCUGCCUGCCUGUCAGAUUGAAUAUAUGUGCUGUAUUCACACCUCACUAAUGAUGUCAUGUCCUCUUCUCCUGUCUCUCCCAAGUCAUGGCAGGAACCACAACUGUCCCCCUCCUUCCCAGCCCCCUCCCUCCCAACCACCUCCCUCCCAG
This is a long non-coding RNA of Esox lucius (northern pike), 872 nucleotides long. The record is from Ensembl. NCBI's taxonomy places the organism in Eukaryota, Metazoa, Chordata, Actinopteri, Esociformes, Esocidae.